RNAcentral lists this unclassified non-coding RNA (1175 nucleotides) under Hevea brasiliensis (rubber tree). Lineage: Eukaryota; Viridiplantae; Streptophyta; Magnoliopsida; Malpighiales; Euphorbiaceae. The record is from RNAcentral.
UUUUUCUCAUUCCUGUGACCAUAUUUAGAAUGUUAAAAGAUUCAAUUUCAUCUGCUGUGGUUAAUAAUUUUGGUGGAUUUUUAACAUGCUGCCUAAUAGUUCCUGCUAUGCAUGCAUGGUUUUACAAAUAUUGAGUGUGAGCGGAGGAUCUUUGUGUUUAUGUUGAUGUAGCUCCUAACUUCUAUUCUUAGUCCUUGAAUUGCUAUUUUAUCAAUUUCUCCUUAUUUUACAUAUUUUAAUAUUAUGCUUAAAGCAAAUGACAUUUACCUGACAGACUUGCAAGGUAAUGGCAACACAGCAUUUUUUUUAGAAAAUUAGUUACUGCAGUUCAAAUUUUAAAGGUUUCUCUUGACCUGUCUUCUAUAUUUUUCUUGAUGAUGUAUUGAAUUUCACUUUUUGGAUAAAGAUAUCGGUGCAUGUAAUUGGUUAUUUUGUUUCUGGAAACCAGGGUUGUUACUUGCCAGAGCAUGUUAAAAACUAGGUAAUACAGUCCAGGUCAACCUUAUCUAUUCACUUUUUUACUAAUACAUGGCCAUAAGCUCUAUCCCAACCCCAUUUUAUGUUCUACCACCUGAGCUAAGGUUUGAAGAAGCCAUUUUGUUUCUAUUUUGGUUCAUUAACCUUCUCGUGACUGCUGCAAUAACAAUGAUAAUUGUUAUAUCUUCUUGAUGCUUUUAAGCCCAUUUGGCUGGUCCCUUUUAAGUCUUAAUUCUGCACAUGAAGGAUUACGAGCUUCUCAGAAUCAUCCAUCUUGUUGCUCCAUAUUAUGAUUUUGUUGAAUGCCUUUAAGGACUUUAUAGUUGAUAGAGCUUAAUGCUUUUGGGCUACCAGAUGUCCCCUUCUCUGGUCAAUAAAUUCCCUCUCCUACAUGAAUGGAAGAUGAUGAUGUCGGUCCAGAGUGAUGACCAAGUCAUCAUUUACCAUCCAGAGUGAUGAGUAAGUCAUCAUUUACCAUACUUGCAUCGAAUUUACUUUAGCCUGAAGCAUCCGUUUGAGAUACUUGGUUAUUGGUAUUACACUUCAAAGCAUCAAGUUAGUAGAAAUGAAAAUUUUGAAAAAUAGGCAAGUAUUGACACUUAGAAAUAUAUCAAGUCCAAGUAUCAUAGCCACUGAAUACAAUUUGCUGGUUCUUUUUACAGGUUGGGCUUAUCUCUGAUGAAAAAUUGGUGGAUCUU